This 28-nucleotide non-coding RNA is filed under the name Homo sapiens (human). Lineage: Eukaryota; Metazoa; Chordata; Mammalia; Primates; Hominidae. The record is from RNAcentral.
GAAGAGAAUAAGGUAGCCAGAGUUAGCA